GGUGGGGAGUGCAAACAUAAUUGUUAUGUUUAUUUUAUAAGCGUAAUAUGCAAACAUAAACAUAAUUACAAAUGAUUCUGAUGAAGAGCAGCCGUUCACAUUGUUAUUAAUAUUAAAAUUUCAAUUUCAAUAAAACAGUGGGGGGUGAGAAAUGAGAAUUACCCAGUCUUUUUGAAAAGGCACUACUGGUCCAGUCCAGACACAAAGCAAACGACUGUGUUUAUUUUCUUCAGUUGUUUUUGUCUGAUAAAAUCUAAAAUGUGUAUGACUUCUAGGAUGAAAAGGGGAAGUGAGUCAGUUCUGCAACAGCACAUUCUACUUUUAUAUUUAAUGUGAAGCACUUUCUUCACAGUCACAUUCAGCCACACUGCUCUGUCUGUAAGGCUGUUUUAUACUAAUGGCUCAUUAGCAAAGCACUGAGGCCAGACCAGAACUCUCUCCUGUGCAGGAAACAUUCUGGUUUAUUCACUGGAACAAGCCACAGGAGCCUGAGGACCUGUCCCAGGACCCAGAAUACUCUGACCGUGUGGAGUACCUGGGGAAUCAGAACAAUGACUGCACUUUCAGAAUAAACCAACUGAGAGAAACUGAUUCAGCAAUAUAUCGCUUCAAGUUCCUGACGACCUUUAUGGUGGAAAAUAUACUGGUCAUUCUGGAGUCUCAUUGACAGUUAUAGGUCUUCAGGUGAAAGUGACAGAGAAUGAGGCACAGAGUGUAACACUGACCUGUAGCAGCACCUGCACUUUGAGUGGCAGCCAAACCUUUACCUGGUACAAGAAUGGAAAAGUUGUCCCCUAUCAAAAUAAAUACUCCCUCAAUUUAGCGAGCACUGACGAUAUGGAUCGCUACUCCUGUGCUACAGGAGGGGUGACUUCCCCUGCAGUCAAUGUGAAAUGUUUGAAGGUGGAUGUAAAUUCUGACACAGUGUCAGGGGGAGAGACAGUGGAACUGACCUGUAGAGCAACCUGCACUCACCUGACUGAGAGCAACAGCUUCAUUUGGUACAACAAUGAGCAGCUUCUGACUGACUACUACAGGUUCUACCAGUCAUAUAUAAAGUUCACAGCCAGGAGUGGAGAUACGGGCAGAUACUCCUGUGCUGUAAGAGGCACUCAGCAUCUUGUUUCCCCCGCCGUGACUCUCAGUGUGAGAUGUGUAAAGGUUGAAAUUAAAUCUAGCACAGUCAGUGAGGGACUGAGGGUGACAUUAACCUGUAAAAUCACCUGCACUGACCUGACUGGCAGCCAAACAUUCAUCUGGUAUAAGAAUGGACAAUCACUACAAAACACCGCCCAGAAAUAUGAAAAUCAUAACUACUUUCAGAUCAAAGCCAGCAGUGGAGAUGCAGGCAGCUACUCCUGUGCAGUAAGAGGCCAUGAGAAUCUCCCGUCCCCAGCAGUGACUCUCUAUCUUCCUAAGAGCAUCUUAUUAUCAGUGAGCCCCUCUGGUGAAAUAGCGGAGGGCAGUUCAGUGACUCUGACCUGCAGCAGUGAUGCCAACCCACCAGUGCAGAGAUACACCUGGUUUAAGAAUAACAGAGCUGUAUCCUCAGAGACAGGAGUUCCAGAGGACAGUUACACCAUUAAAAACAUCACACUGCAGGAUGCAGGAGAAUACACCUGUCAGGCAGAGAAUGGGAUUGGGACAAACAGAUCUCCUCCUAAGCGUCUUGAUGUGCAGUGAAGAAGAGCACCAACAGAGAGAGACGGAGGAGCAGACGCUCUCGUACUAGCAGAGCCUUCAGAGAGUGACAAACGCAGCCAGCGACACAAACUCUGUGUUUCAGAGAGCUGGCGAGGCCUCAGUGUGGGAUUAACACACACAGAGGAGAGAAUCUGCAGAGAAUGAGAAAUGGUGGAGAUCAGGGUGAAAGAGUCUCUUUUUGUCUUUAACUUUACAGAACUGCUGUCUGUUUCUGCUAGAUUAUCCAAUUUAUAAAGAGCUGCUGGUGUUGGAUUUUUCCCAAAGUACUGGAACCCUGCUGCAACAUGCAUGUUCAUGUAACCCUGCUGCAUACAUGCUCCUGUGACACCGUUACACGUUUAUAUAACCCUGUUACACACACGCUCAUAGCUCAUGUACAUGCACAUGUACUCUCUCACAUUGAAUGGGAAGAUUAUGAUGCAGAUUAAUGCAGAUUGUAAUCUCCAAACUCAGGUAACUUUUAAAAGCAAGGUCCAACAUCUUUUAAAACAGUGUUUUAGCUUUACACUUUACAUUGCCUUGUUGUAUUGACCCCAUUUUUACUUUCUGUCUGGUUAGCUGUUUGAAAUAAUGCAUCUUUGUGUUUGUUUUCUUUACAUACAUUGUUUUAUUAUGUCUAUCAAUAUAUUAUGAUUUAUUUGAGCAUUGUAUAGCACUGUGAACCUUGAACCUCUGUUUUGAUAAAGAUUAUCAUUAUUUUCUUUAUAUGGCCAUCAUGUUUUGCCUGCAAACGCCGCCCCCCCCAAAAAACAAUAAAAUAAAAUAAACUAAAAUAAACAAAUUAAAUAAUAUUCAUAUAAAUUCCAUUUUAUUCAUGUGUGGGCAUCUAUUUCAUUUCUGUGAAAUGUGAAAGAUAGAAUAAUCCAAUCGGCUGUAUGUAGUAAAAGUCAUCUUCAUGAAGUAUAAGCAUUGAAAUGAAACUAAUUAUGUGCAUGAAGGACUGUAUAACAGGCAAAGCCAAACCAAAGUUCUAAAAGGUCACAUGAACAUCAACCACAGAAACAGCGCUGCUCCACCCCAACUGAACUGAGAUGAGGAAUAAAAUAAAGAAUGGAACAGGCUGCAGGAAGUGAGCAGCGCUUUAACUGUCUUUGGUCAGGGUGGCUCUCGUCUGAAAUUAGGCAGCUUCACCCACAGCCGCGCCCGCUACUCCUCUGCACAAAAGAGCCAAGCAGGGGCACCUCACAGUACCCGCUUUGAGGCCCCAGAGCCGUGAUACUUUCACAAAGAUAACUACACCUGUCCGCUCCUUAUAUCUUCUGCGAAAGCCGAUGCAGCCAUGCCCCAAACAAACUCAACAGUAUUUUUGUAAGCCCUUCUCUCUGCCUCAGGUAAACAAUUUAGUUACUUCAGUUCUGCUUAUUAAUGCCAGUUUACAGAGGUUACAAUAUCUAUCAGAAGCUAAAAUCUAUUUAGAAUUACUAUGAUUUGAUAUAACCUGUUUAACUCAUUAGACUGGGAAAGCAAAAAAUUUAAGACAUAUGUUACAGGAAAUUGGAACCUAAAUCUUAAAUACAAGAUCACAUACGUUGUUUAGAUGCCCUAUUGGCGGACAUCUUAAACUGUUUUAAGCUACACUUGUAUGUUGUCUUAUCUGUGUUUGUCGUUUGUCCGGUUAUGUGCUGAGUAUGCACUGACGCUUUUACACAAAUUAAGUUCCUAACAGAUAAAGUUAUUUUGAAUUUGAAUUUGGUUUAGAGAUUCUAGGCUGAGCAGAAUCUUUUUACAUUUGUUUUUACCACACAUCUGCUGUGAAAUGUAAAACAAAUGAUUGAUCUUAAGUUCCUGUUUAUGCUCAGCUCUGCAACAGAGAUUAAUAGAUUUCUUUGGCUUCAUGACAUGGGCAGAACUGUAAAUGAACUGCAUUUACUGGUGUGCUCUAUUCCUGAGUAAAAUGAUAGAUUUUGCCAUCAUUUAAUCUUUUGUGAAACUAAAUUUUAUACUUGAAAA
Anguilla rostrata (American eel) is the source of this 3654-nucleotide RNA transcript. It is a transcript of the gene named B-cell receptor CD22-like, with no coding region annotated. NCBI's taxonomy places the organism in Eukaryota, Metazoa, Chordata, Actinopteri, Anguilliformes, Anguillidae. The record is from RefSeq and is a predicted model, not a curated record. The transcript is spliced from 9 exons.